UACGAAGGGGGCUAGCGUUGCUCGGAAUCACUGGGCGUAAAGCGCACGUUGGCGGAUUUCUAAGUCAGGGGUGAAAUCCUGGAGCUCAACUCCAGAACUGCCUUUGAUACUGGGAAUCUUCGAGUCCGGGAGAGGUGAGUGGAACUGCGAGUGUAGAGGUGAAAUUCGUAGAUAUUCGCAAGAACACCAGUGGCGAAGGCGGCUCACUGGCCCGGUACUGACGCUGAGGUGCGAAAGCGUGGGGAGCAAACAGG
Molecule: ribosomal RNA, 254 nt
Filed under: uncultured bacterium
Lineage: Bacteria
Description: partial 16S ribosomal RNA
Rfam family: Bacterial small subunit ribosomal RNA
Source: RNAcentral